CACUUGCCUAAUACAUGCAAGUCGUACGCUAGCCGCUGAAUUGAUCCUUCGGGUGAAGUGAGGCAAUGACUAGAGUGGCGAACUGGUGAGUAACACGUAAGAAACCUGCCCUUUAGUGGGGGAUAACAUUUGGAAACAGAUGCUAAUACCGCGUAACAACAAAUCACACAUGUGAUCUGUUUGAAAGGUCCUUUUGGAUCGCUAGAGGAUGGUCUUGCGGCGUAUUAGCUUGUUGGUAGGGUAGAAGCCUACCAAGGCAAUGAUGCGUAGCCGAGUUGAGAGACUGGCCGGCCACAUUGGGACUGAGACACUGCCCAAACUCCUACGGGAGGCUGCAGUAGGGAAUUUUCCGCAAUGCACGAAAGUGUGACGGAGCGACGCCGCGUGUGUGAUGAAGGCUUUCGGGUCGUAAAGCACUGUUGUAAGGGAAGAAUAACUGAAUUCAGAGAAAGUUUUCAGCUUGACGGUACCUUACCAGAAAGGGAUGGCUAAAUACGUGCCAGCAGCCGCGGUAAUACGUAUGUCCCGAGCGUUAUCCGGAUUUAUUGGGCGUAAAGCGAGCGCAGACGGUUUAUUAAGUCUGAUGUGAAAUCCCGAGGCCCAACCUCGGAACUGCAUUGGAAACUGAUAUCU
Molecule: ribosomal RNA, 633 nt
Filed under: Oenococcus oeni
Lineage: Bacteria; Bacillati; Bacillota; Bacilli; Lactobacillales; Lactobacillaceae
Description: bacterial SSU rRNA
Rfam family: Bacterial small subunit ribosomal RNA
Source: RNAcentral